RNAcentral lists this non-coding RNA (100 nucleotides) under Proteiniclasticum ruminis. RNAcentral describes it as "Guanine sequence". It matches the Rfam family "Purine riboswitch aptamer". Rfam says of the family: Riboswitches are metabolite binding domains within certain messenger RNAs that serve as precision sensors for their corresponding targets. Allosteric rearrangement of mRNA structure is mediated by ligand binding, and this results in modulation of gene expression. Lineage: Bacteria; Bacillati; Bacillota; Clostridia; Eubacteriales; Clostridiaceae. The record is from Rfam by way of RNAcentral.
UUAAAUUAAAAACGCGUUACUCGUAUAUGCCCUUAAUAAGGAAGGGCGUUUCUACCGGAAACCAUUGUAAUUUCCGUCUAUGAGUGGCAAAGGUGCUUCU